RNAcentral lists this long non-coding RNA (461 nucleotides) under Brassica napus (rape). RNAcentral's name for it is "long non-coding RNA (BNAP_LNC008485)". Lineage: Eukaryota; Viridiplantae; Streptophyta; Magnoliopsida; Brassicales; Brassicaceae. The record is from RNAcentral.
GUUUCCACUGAACUUCCUUUCCUCUCCACGGUAAGCAGCCUUGUGUGCUUGGAUUGCUUCAGCCUUGUUGGACAGAGCCAUGUCUCCUUUCCCUCCAAACAUACCAAGUGACCCCUCUUCCUUCUGAAUCUGCGCACACACUUCCUCCAUAGAUGGAAGACUCGGCAUCCUCAACAUGUGCUUGAUCACAUCAUUGAAUGGAGGAUCUAGUGUCAGCAGCAAUCCAAACACCUGAUCCUGCUCCCUCCUCUCCAUGAGUAGCUCUUGAUCCGCGGUGCUUGGCCUCAAUGAUUCAAGCUCAGACCACAAGGAUCUAUACUUGCCCAAAUGCUUGGUGAACUCUUCCCCAUCUUGAACCAGUGUGUUGAUGGCCUUCUUAAUCUCAUACACGCGGUUCAGAUUGGUAACGUUCCCAAAUGUCUUCUGGAGUACCUCCCACAGGUGUUUUGGAGUCUCGCAGU